RNAcentral lists this long non-coding RNA (215 nucleotides) under Gallus gallus (chicken). The record is from RNAcentral. Lineage: Eukaryota; Metazoa; Chordata; Aves; Galliformes; Phasianidae.
GCCCCUCCAACCUGGCGUUAACCUCUGCCCAAAGCCCACUACCUGCUGGCAUCUGCCCGGGGGCAGCAAACUCCAACAUGGGUACCCGGUUGACGAUGGCAUCCCGCUUGCACUUCUUGGGGUCACCACCUUGAAGGAUCAUGUCCACGAUCUCACUGAUCCAGGUGGUGCCUGACUUGGGGAAGGUGGCCACCACGAUGUCAUCAGGACGGCUC